UGCCUAGUGGGCCACUUUUGGUAAGCAGAA
Molecule: non-coding RNA, 30 nt
Filed under: Homo sapiens (human)
Lineage: Eukaryota; Metazoa; Chordata; Mammalia; Primates; Hominidae
Also listed under: 1 other name
Source: RNAcentral